Molecule: ribosomal RNA, 712 nt
Filed under: Kocuria sp.
Lineage: Bacteria; Bacillati; Actinomycetota; Actinomycetes; Micrococcales; Micrococcaceae
Description: bacterial SSU rRNA
Rfam family: Bacterial small subunit ribosomal RNA
Source: RNAcentral
GUGGGUGUCGUGGGAUAGGUGUGGGGGAAUUCCACGUUUUCCGCGCCGUAGCUAACGCAUUAAGUGCCCCGCCUGGGGAGUACGGCCGCAAGGCUAAAACUCAAAGGAAUUGACGGGGGCCCGCACAAGCGGCGGAGCAUGCGGAUUAAUUCGAUGCAACGCGAAGAACCUUACCAAGGCUUGACAUACACCGGAUCGGCUCAGAGAUGAGUUUUCCUCCUUGUGGGGCUGGUGUACAGGUGGUGCAUGGUUGUCGUCAGCUCGUGUCGUGAGAUGUUGGGUUAAGUCCCGCAACGAGCGCAACCCUCGUUCUAUGUUGCCAGCACGUGAUGGUGGGGACUCAUAGGAGACUGCCGGGGUCAACUCGGAGGAAGGUGGGGAUGACGUCAAAUCAUCAUGCCCCUUAUGUCUUGGGCUUCACGCAUGCUACAAUGGCCAGUACAAUGGGUUGCGAUACCGUGAGGUGGAGCUAAUCCCAAAAAGCUGGUCUCAGUUCGGAUCGUGGUCUGCAACUCGACCACGUGAAGUCGGAGUCGCUAGUAAUCGCAGAUCAGCAACGCUGCGGUGAAUACGUUCCCGGGCCUUGUACACACCGCCCGUCAAGUCACGAAAGUUGGUAACACCCGAAGCCGGUGGCCUAACCCUUGUGGGGGGAGCCGUCGAAGGUGGGACUGGCGAUUGGGACUAAGUCGUAACAAGUUAAACCGUAAAA